GGAUGUGAGGGCGAUCUGACUGCGACAUCUGUCACCCCACUGAUCACCAGGGUUGAUUGAGCUGAUCUGGCUGGCUAAGCGGGUGUCCCCUUCCUCCCUCAACUAUCCCUGUGCAUCCUGUUGAAGACCACCCCCGAUAGAGGAGGACCAUUCCUCAGUUGAGGGUAUACAAGCUCUCAACCCAGACAUUUACCUUCUGCAUAUCUACCCAGAAGAAUCAAAAACUUCAUACCACAGCAAUAUGUGUGUACCCAUGUUUAUAGCAGCACAAUUUAU
This 276-nucleotide small nuclear RNA is filed under the name Octodon degus (degu). Its description in RNAcentral is "7SK RNA (ENSODEG00000023007.1)". It matches the Rfam family "7SK RNA". From Rfam's summary of the family: 7SK was discovered as an abundant small nuclear RNA in the mid-70s but a possible function has only recently been suggested. Two independent studies have found that 7SK RNA binds the CDK9/cyclin T complex (known as elongation factor P-TEFb). P-TEFb activates transcription by phosphorylating the C-terminal domain of RNA polymerase II. Lineage: Eukaryota; Metazoa; Chordata; Mammalia; Rodentia; Octodontidae. The record is from Rfam by way of RNAcentral.